Molecule: ribosomal RNA, 336 nt
Filed under: uncultured Anoxybacillus sp.
Lineage: Bacteria; Bacillati; Bacillota; Bacilli; Caryophanales; Anoxybacillaceae
Description: bacterial SSU rRNA
Rfam family: Bacterial small subunit ribosomal RNA
Source: RNAcentral
CAUGGUUGUCGUCAGCUCGUGUCGUGAGAUGUUGGUUAAGUCCCGCAACGAGCGCAACCCUCGACCUUAGUUGCCAGCAUUCAGUUGGGCACUCUAAGGUGACUGCCGGCUAAAAGUCGGAGGAAGGUGGGGAUGACGUCAAAUCAUCAUGCCCCUUAUGACCUGGGCUACACACGUGCUACAAUGGGCGGUACAAAGGGUCGCGAACCCGCGAGGGGGAGCCAAUCCCAAAAAGCCGCUCUCAGUUCGGAUUGCAGGCUGCAACUCGCCUGCAUGGAGCCGGAAUCGCUAGUAAUCGCGGAUCAGCACGCCGCGGUGAAUACGUUCCCGGGCCUU